RNAcentral lists this ribosomal RNA (468 nucleotides) under uncultured bacterium. RNAcentral's name for it is "partial 16S ribosomal RNA". It matches the Rfam family "Bacterial small subunit ribosomal RNA", at positions 28 to 507 of the family's 1533-position model. The record is from RNAcentral.
GACGAACGCUGGCGGCGUGCUUAACACAUGCAAGUCGAACGGAAAGGCCCUGCUUUUGGGGGGUGCUCGAGUGGCGAACGGGUGAGGAACACGUGAGUAACCUGCCCUUGACUUUGGGAUAACUUCAGGAAACUGGGGCUAAUACCGGAUAGGAGCUCCUGCUGCAUGGUGGGGGCUGGAAAGUUUCGGCGGUUGGGGAUGGACUCGCGGCUUAUCAGGUUGUUGGUGGGGUAGUGGCUUACCAAGGCUUUGACGGGUAGCCGGCCUGGGAGGGUGACCGGCCACAUUGGGCCUGAGCUACGGCCCAGACUCCUCCGGGAGGCAGCAGUGGGGAAUAUUGCACUAUGGGCUGAAGCCUGAUGCAGCAACGCCGCGUGCGGGAUGACGGCCUGCGGGUUGUAAUCCACUUUCGCCUGUGACGAAGCGUGAGUGACGGUAAUGGGUGAAGAAGCACCGGCUAACUACGUG